Small nucleolar RNA from Meriones unguiculatus (Mongolian gerbil), 140 nucleotides. RefSeq annotates it as small nucleolar RNA SNORA48. The record is from RefSeq and is a predicted model, not a curated record. NCBI's taxonomy places the organism in Eukaryota, Metazoa, Chordata, Mammalia, Rodentia, Muridae. The transcript has a single exon.
CACCCUUCUGGCAAUGGGCAAAGAGACACCUUGUUGGUGCUGCUGUUCUUCUGACAGUCAAGGGCAGAUCUAGUUCUUUGUUCACCCCAGCUUGAUGCCUCGCUUGGUGCUCAAAGCUGUCUUAUGCCUAGGACCCAUAA